UUAGGACAGGAAAUUAGCAGGUUCCUCUACCACACAGGUCAUGCUCUCUUCUCACUGCUGCCCUCAGGUAGGUAGUACAGGAGCUUCAGGACUCAUACCAGCAUUAGGCUCUUGAACCAAAGGGGGUAACUUUAUUCAACUUCACUUGCCUCAUCAUUGAAAUGUUCCCAUGAUCCAUGGAGUCACCUUGAAGGACUCUUCAUCUCAGUUUUGCAGCAAUCUUUCGGCAUUCAAAAGAGAAAGGAAAAGCAGGAGUUUGCUGUUUUCAGCAGUUCAAGAAGUUUUCAAUGUAACUGAGACAUCUUAACAAGAAUCAAGAAAACUAACAGUGACUGCAAUCAGCAACCCAGGCUCUUAGAUGGCAUUACUUGAAGAAAGAAUAAAGAGGACAGACCACAACCAGUUUCUUAAACUAUUUCAGGAUGUGGGUAUUCGAUAAAAGAAAAGGUUGUGACCUCCAACCUUCCUCUGGAGAAAGGAGUCUAUUACUCGAGCUGAAACUCCAUUGCAGAAGACAGGAAGCACUCUGCCAUUGUGCUACUGUCUUUCAGAUAGACGUGGAACCAAGGCCACAUCUGCCCUUCCAAGUGGAUGUAAUGGACUGUAACUUGAAGAACAUUUGAUGGGUUCUACCCAUGUCCUGGUCAAGAAUGAACUCUUAGCGAACAUCUGAAAUGGCUGAUCCAGUCAUUCCUAUCACUGUUUCUAUGAGGCUACUCUUAACAACCCAUUUUCCACAUUAAAAAAGAAACUAAAUUUCAGAAAAUACUUCUUUAUUGUAGAGUACU
Molecule: long non-coding RNA, 788 nt
Organism: Hypanus sabinus (Atlantic stingray)
Lineage: Eukaryota; Metazoa; Chordata; Chondrichthyes; Myliobatiformes; Dasyatidae
Exons: 5
Source: RefSeq, a predicted model, not a curated record